CGGACGGGUGAGUAACGCGUGGGCAACCUGCCUCGUACUGGGGGAUAACAGUUGGAAACGACUGUUAAUACCGCAUAAGCGCACGGUACCGCAUGGUACAGUGUGAAAAACUCCGGUGGUACGAGAUGGGCCCGCGUCAGAUUAGCCAGUUGGUGGGGUAACGGCCUACCAAAGCAACGAUCUGUAGCCGGACUGAGAGGUCGGACGGCCACAUUGGGACUGAGACACGGCCCAAAUUCCUACGGGAGGCAGCAGUGGGGGAUAUUGCACAAUGGGCGAAAGCCUGAUGCAGCGACGCCGCGUGAGUGAAGAAGUAUUUCGGUAUGUAAAGCUCUAUCAGCAGGGAAGAAAGACUCGUAAGAGAGAUGACGGUACCUGACUAAGAAGCCCCGGCUAACUACGUGCCAGCAGCCGCGGUAAUACGUAGGGGGCAAGCGUUAUCCGGAUUUACUGGGUGUAAAGGGAGCGCAGACGGUCAAGCAAGUCUGAAGUGAAACCCCACGGCUCAACCGUGGGCUUGCUUUGGAAACUGUUUGACUAGAGUACUGGAGAGGUAAGCGGAAUUCCUAGUGUAGCGGUGAAAUGCGUAGAUAUUAGGAGGAACAUCGGUGGCGAAGGCGGCUUACUGGACAGCAACUGACGUUGAGGCUCGAAGGCGUGGGGAGCAAACAGGAUUAGAUACCCUGGUAGUCCACGCGGUAAACGAUGAAUACUAGGUGUUGGGAGACACAGUCUUUCAGUGCCGACGCUAACGCAUUAAGUAUUCCACCUGGGGGAGUACGUUCGCAAGGAAUGAAACUCAAAAGGAAAUUGACGGGGACCCGCACAAGCGG
RNAcentral lists this ribosomal RNA (833 nucleotides) under uncultured bacterium. Its description in RNAcentral is "bacterial SSU rRNA". It matches the Rfam family "Bacterial small subunit ribosomal RNA", at positions 99 to 932 of the family's 1533-position model. The record is from RNAcentral.